GAAGAGAAUUGCGCAAAUGCGUGUGUGAGUGGAGUUAUACCCAAGCCAACUACUGGCUGCGAACAGCUUCUAGUGGGUCCCGACCUCGGUGGUCUUUUAACAGUGAUUUCAGGUUUAACGAUAGUGCGAACAUCACGGCGAUUGCGAGCUGGCGACUGCAAUCAACCACGCACCUGGAGUGACUCAUUAACCACCAAGGGAUGUCAUGGAAGGACACAUCACACGCACUAAACAUCAAAACAUUUCCCACGAAUCUGCCAAUUUGAAUCAGGACGUGCGAUAAAUAGAUGAAAUCGA
This 297-nucleotide long non-coding RNA is filed under the name Penaeus japonicus. RNAcentral describes it as "uncharacterized LOC122257518". Lineage: Eukaryota; Metazoa; Arthropoda; Malacostraca; Decapoda; Penaeidae. The record is from RNAcentral.